This 196-nucleotide non-coding RNA is filed under the name Anaerobacillus arseniciselenatis. RNAcentral describes it as "Bacillus arseniciselenatis Bacterial small subunit ribosomal RNA". It matches the Rfam family "Bacterial small subunit ribosomal RNA", at positions 1 to 193 of the family's 1533-position model. Lineage: Bacteria; Bacillati; Bacillota; Bacilli; Caryophanales; Bacillaceae. The record is from Rfam by way of RNAcentral.
UUUAUGGAGAGUUUGAUCCUGGCUCAGGACGAACGCUGGCGGCGUGCCUAAUACAUGCAAGUCGAGCGGAGUUUUAAAAGCUUGCUUUUAAAACUUAGCGGCGGACGGGUGAGUAACACGUGGGCAACCUGCCCUGUAGACUGGGAUAACUUCGGGAAACCGAAGCUAAUACCGGAUAAUCUUUGGAGCUUCAUGG